CCCUUAGAUGUUCUGGGCUGCACGCGUACUACACUGAUAUUGCCAAUAUGUCAUUCUUAUCCGAAAUGGAUUGGGUAAUCAAGUAAUGAAAUUUCAUGCUUGGAAUCGGUAAUUGCAAUUUUAUCGUGAACGAGGAAUUCCUAGUAAGCACUAGUCAUCAGCUAAUGUUGAUUAUGUCCCUGCCCUUUGUACACACCGCCCGUCGCUACUACUGAUUGGGUGUUCAAGUGAGAUGCUUAGACCCUUGUUGCAUGGUUCAUUAUUGUGCUCCGAAAGGAAAAAGUUUCAAGCUUGAGUGUCUAGAGGAAGUAAAAGUCGUAACA
Molecule: ribosomal RNA, 323 nt
Filed under: uncultured eukaryote
Lineage: Eukaryota
Description: partial 18S ribosomal RNA
Rfam family: Eukaryotic small subunit ribosomal RNA
Source: RNAcentral